Acanthopagrus latus (yellowfin seabream) is the source of this 4533-nucleotide long non-coding RNA. RefSeq lists it as uncharacterized. Lineage: Eukaryota; Metazoa; Chordata; Actinopteri; Spariformes; Sparidae. The transcript is spliced from 3 exons. The record is from RefSeq and is a predicted model, not a curated record.
GAUGUGACAAUUUUCUGCCCUAUUUGGCAUGAUUUACAAAGUGUUUUGUAUUCCUGUACAAAAUUGCAAAGGUUUUGCAGUUAUAUUUCUUUCAUAAUAUACAAACAAACUUUGUCCAAUCAUAUGCAUUUCAUUAAAUAUCAUGUGGUGCGACCAUCAAUAAAUGACCACUUUUGGAACUUUUAUUUUGAAAUCUACUGGAGGACAGGAAGUUGCAUCAUCCACCAUUUUGUCAUAGAGCUAUGGAAGCAGAAAGAAGGUUUGUGGCUCUCUCAUUUUUAAAAAAAAAAAAAAACUUUUUUAACGGCUGUAAUGUUGUUGCCACAUUUGGAUAUCAUGUGGUAUGACCUCAAAAAAACAAUUAAUUUAAGUUUUUUCUGCAAAUUUGUAUUUUUAUUAUAAAUUUCAUAGUGUCCUUUUGUGGAAAGCUAGCUAGCUUUGUUUAUGUUGCUAAUCUUGUCAUAGUAAUAUUUGACUGAACUUGAAAAUGUCAUGUGGUGCGACCAAUUAUCAUGUGGUGCGACCACUGCAGAUUGUUUUCCAUCAUAGAUAUAUGACCUAGAUUGGCAGUUUUUGUGCCUUUUAUAUUCAAUUGAUGAUUGAUCAACAUUAAGUACUUAAUUUUUAUUAUUAUUUUGACUAUUUUUUGGAUAUUUGAUGAGUCAUUUUGCUAAUAUUUCAGAAAUAAUGGUUAGUUCAUCUUUGUAAAAUAUAAGAAAAAAUAGUAAAAGCAUGCAAUUUCACUUGGGUAUUUAUGCAGAUAUUAGCAAUUUAUUAAUUAUUAUUUGUCUAUUUAACUCAUAUUGAUUUAUUUUACCAGAUGCCACUGCCAAGCAAAGUUAAAAGCGCUCGCCACAGGCAGCGUGUCAACUCUGACCCCACAGCAAAAGCAGAGUACCUUGCCAGGAGAAGAGAAAGCUACCAGAGAAGGAAACUGCAGGGGAAGAUUCCAUAUGUAAAGGCAAGUGAGCUAGAGAAGAUGAAAAAGAAACAGAGAGAGAAAUGGAGGGCAGUAUCCAGUGCUUACAGAGAAAGAAAAGAUAUGGCAAAUGCUGUGUUAGACCUUACUCCACCAUCCAUGGAGAAUAUUCCACCAGUUCUGGUUGGUGUAGAUGUUGCCCAAGAACAGCCACAAGAGCAGCCAGAGCAGCCGCCUGUGGAAGACCCCAUGCCUCUAAAUGAGGAUUUUAAUCCACCGGUGUCCUCCACACCAGAGAGGAAUAAAAGAAAGAAUACAUCAGCAGAAAAACAUUGCAAAAAAUUGCAGGGAGAGAAGUGUCAACUGAGAAAGCAGGUCUUACAUCUGAAGAAACAGCUAGCAGAGAUGAAAAACUGAGGGAUAAAUCCAGAAAGAGUGAGAAGAGGUUAAUGGGAAAACAAACAGUAGGCCUAAGUGAAAAAUUCAAGCCAAGGGGGCACAAGAAACUGUCAACAAAAAGAAAGCAAGCAGUUAUCAAUUUCCUGUCCAGAGAUGAAAACAACCGUCUGUUAGCAGGGGAAAAAGACACCAUUACCAAAAAUAAACAGAAAAUGCAAAGAAGAGUUCUAACAAAGCCCCUGAUUGAGCUCCAUGCUCAGUAUCAAACAGAGGUGGAACAGGAUCUCUCCAUGUCUUACCGACAAUUUGUAAGAAGACGGCCUUUUUAUAUCACAGAGCCAAAGACCAGUGACAGAGAUACAUGUGCAUGUGUGGAACAUGAGAAUGUCCGGCUACUGAUUAACAAACUUACCAAGAGAGGGCUGUUGAAGACAACCAGCAUCUCAGAAUUAUUGAAUAUGAUUGUUUGUGACCCUAAAAACAAAGCAUGUAUGGAUCGUGUAUGCCCAAAGUGCUGCUUUGAUGAAGUCGAAUUACCUGAGACACCCUCUGCAGAGGUUUCUUGGGAACAAUGGGAGCGAGUAACUUCAACAAAUGGAGAGAAAGUCUUUGCAAAUGUCUUAAAACAAACACAUACAGGGACAAUCAAGGACUUAAAAGAGCUGUUCCACAAAAAGCUAGAAUGUAUAGCCAUACACCAGUUCAACUGGAUCCACCAAACAGAAAAGUUUCGUGGCCUAAAACAGAAUCUCACAGAAGCUGAAGCAGUGCUUCACAUUGGUAAUACACACCGCUAUUCUCUACACAGUCCAUGGGACAAAAUCAUACGCAACGCUAUCAGACAGCCUCCGCCAUGACGAGAGGGCAGUAUGGGCACACCUGGAGCCCAUACUGAAAGAGCUUCACACAACCUACCCAGAGAUUACAGCCCUACAUAUAAUUAGUGACGGACCUGUUACACAGUACAGGAACAAAGCUAACUUUUAUCUCCUCAGUACUGUGCCUUUCCUUUCUGGGUUCAAGCAUGUUACAUGGAACUAUUCGGAAAAGUCCCACGGAAAGGGUGCCCCGGAUGGUAUCGGUGGUGCAGUGAAGAGGGAUGCAGAUCUCUAUGUUCGUCGGGGAGGUGAGCUGCAGGCUCCACUGGAUUUGUAUGAGAUGCUGACCAAAAAAUCAGGGUCGACCAUUACUCAUUACUGGGUAAGCGAAGAGAGCAUCCAGAAAUAUGAUGAGCUGAUUCCAGGGAAAUUGACAGCUGUGAAGGGAACCUUAAAAAUACACCAGGUUUUGUCUUCACAAGCAGCACAAAUCAGUCACAGGGAGGUCUUGUGCUUCUGCAAGCAUGCAGAAAUGAAGACAUGCCUAUGUUACCAGCCAGUGAAAGCAGAUUUGAGGAACACCACCGACGAUCCCGUAAACGCUCCUGAGCCACCAAAGAAACAACCUCUUCAAGACUUGAGUGGAAAGUUUGUCAUAGUCAGCUAUGAUGAACUUCCCUAUGUUGGCCAGGUCCUUCAGGUUGUGGGAGAGGAAGUACAAGUUACCUCCAUGUGACAGUCAGGAGAAAAUAACUUGUUCAUGUGGCCACAAGAGCCAGAUAUUAUAUAUUGCUACAAGAAAGAUGUUCUCUUUGUCAUUGAAGAACCUGAGCCAGCAACCUCACGCUACUCAAAGUUGACCAGCCAAGAUUGGGCAAAGUUCAAAAAGGCCUGGGGUUAGCGGCACACACGCGCACACACACAUACACAUGGUUAGAUUUUUAUCAGAAAAUCGAAAAAAUGUUUAUGAAAUGAAAUGUUUCUGUUCAUGUUGUUCAUGCGAGGAUUGGGCAAAGAUUGAGCCAAGACUGGGCAAAAUUCAAGAAGGCUUGGGGUUAGUGGCACAUAUGCACACACACAAACACUCACACAGACACUAACACACACGGUUAGAUUUUUGUCAAAAAAAUGUUUAUGAAAUUAAAUGUUUGUAUUGAUGUUGUUCAUGCAAAGAUUGGGCAAAGUUUAAAAAGUCCUGGGCCACUAUACAGUUAGAUUUUUGUCAAAAAAUGUUUAUGAAAUGAAAUGUUUGUUUUCAUGUUUGAAAUGUUAAUAAAAUCUGGUUGAAAUUUGCAUGGAAUUAAUUGUUUAUUGGCCUCUUUAAAUUGAUUUUUAAUGACACAAGGUCUUCACGUCAUUUGGCGCGACCACCCAUCAUGUGGUGUGACCAAUAAUAACAAUACCUAUAUCAAAUACAAACUAAAAUAUCUAAUUUCUGUAACUAACACAUUAAUAACUGAUACAAUAUGCUUAAGUGAAAGGUUAUUUUAAAACAUUUUUAUCAUUAUUAUCCAAUUUAAAGAAAAAAUUUGUUGGUGAACUACAUUUAAUGUAGCGACUGUGACAUUAUAUCGCUAAAUUAUGAGAGCAUUAUUUACACAAAUUCAAAUGAAAUGCAAACACUUUGUUUCUAUAUAGUUGAUAUUACUGACAAUUUGUAAAACACUAUUAAGUAUGUUAAGAAAAUGUAUUAAUUUUUAGAUACAUUAUGGUCGCACCACAUGACAUUUUUUAAGGCCAGGGGAAAUUCAUCUAUAUGAAAAAACACUAAAAUUGCUAAAUUUAUAAUUGUAAUGUUCAAUUUUGUAUACACAACAUCCUUAAUGUUUGAACAGUUGCAAAAAAUAUACUUAUUUUUGGUAUUUUAAAAUUGGCAUGUUGAAAAACCUUAUACGUCAUUGACCCUAAUACAUUGUAGUAAGUGUUUCUAACUAGUGGUGAACAUGCAUAAUGGCAAUGAACAUAGAAAGAAUAGACACUAAAAAUGAUAAUAGUACUCUUGUCAUGAUCUAUGGCUGCGGUGUCUGUGUUGUUUUUUUUGUGCUUGUGUGUUCUGUUUACUUGCAGAGUUGCGCUGGAAGGCUGGGCGGAUUUGUUGUCUCAGGAGGGAUCACACUCAUAUGCACCUGCUGCAGGUUGACAAUUAAUGCCUGCUUAAAAGUCUUGAUCAACACACUACCUGCUGCCAACCACAUGCAGUAUAUGGCUCUGUCAAUGCUGUGUUUCUCCAAGUGGCUAAACACCACACAUGUCCUCAGCCUGGCAGCAACACUCCACCUGCCAUGGGCUCCUCCAAGCAUCUAGACACCACACAGCGCUCCAGCAGCCUCAACCUCAAACCAUCAUCAGCUGUGAAUUCAGUUGUGUUGAAAUAAAGAAGGUUUUGAUACUGCUGCA